GGCGAGUGGCGGACGGGUGAGUAAUGCGUAGGAAUCUACCUUAAAGUGGGGGACAACCCGAGGAAACUCGGGCUAAUACCGCAUAAUCUCUACGGAGUAAAGCAGGGGACCUUCGGGCCUUGCGCUUUAAGAUGAGCCUACGUCGGAUUAGCUUGUUGGUGAGGUAACGGCUUACCAAGGCGACGAUCCGUAGCUGGUCUGAGAGGACGAUCAGCCACACUGGGACUGAGACACGGCCCAG
RNAcentral lists this ribosomal RNA (241 nucleotides) under uncultured bacterium. Its description in RNAcentral is "partial 16S ribosomal RNA". It matches the Rfam family "Bacterial small subunit ribosomal RNA", at positions 90 to 334 of the family's 1533-position model. The record is from RNAcentral.